Molecule: RNase P RNA, 290 nt
Filed under: Thermoplasmata archaeon M8B2D
Lineage: Archaea; Methanobacteriati; Thermoplasmatota; Thermoplasmata
Description: partial RNase P RNA component
Rfam family: Archaeal RNase P
About the family: Ribonuclease P (RNase P) is a ubiquitous endoribonuclease, found in archaea, bacteria and eukarya as well as chloroplasts and mitochondria.
Source: RNAcentral
GGGAGUAGGUGGACGGCUGACGGCGGAUAUCGCUGAGGAAAGUCCCCUCUCGCUCUGAACCAGGUAACUGUGUAAAGCAGUAAGGGUGAAAAUCCUUAUAGAGGAGCAGAAACGACACAGCUUUAGAAUAAAGCAAUGAUUCACAAUGGUGAUGAGGUCUUCUAAAGAUUUGAUGAAACGUGCCAAUCUAUCCCUGGAGCAAGUCCAAACAGCAGGAUCAGUUGUUCAGACUGCCUGCAGGUAGGACGCAUAGUAGAAUGCCGUUUAAAACAGAAAGGGGCUUACGGCCU